GAAGUAAAAGUCGUAACAAGGUUUCCGUAGGUGAACCUGCGGAAGGAUCAUUACUGAAAUGAACCUUGAGGCUGUCGCUGGCCCGUCUGGGCAUGUGCACGUCUCUGGUCAUUACCAAUUCCACCUGUGCACACUUGUAGACACUUGGGAAUGAGAGACUUUAACCAGUCUCUUGAGAGAAUUAAAAUCUGGGUGUCUAUGCCAUUUUAUUACACACUAGUUGCAUGUCUAUAGAAGGAUGAUUUGAUUAAAUAUAAAAUACAACUUUCAACAACGGAUCUCUUGGCUCUCGCAUCGAUGAAGAACGCAGCGAAAUGCGAUAAGUAAUGUGAAUUGCAGAAUUCAGUGAAUCAUCGAAUCUUUGAACGCACCUUGCGCUCCUUGGCAUUCUGAGGAGCAUGCCUGUUUGAGUGUCAUUAACAUCUCAAGACCUGUCUGCUUUUGAUAGGUAUUGGAUUCUUGGGGGUUGCAGGCUGUUUCAGAUAGCUUGCUCUCCUUGAAUGUAUUAGUGGAGAAAGAGCCAUUGAACUCCAUUGGUGUGAUAAAAUCUAUCAAUGCCAGGAGCCAUGUUAGUUUUCUCUGCUGUCUAACUCUAACAGUCGUCUGUAUAAAAUGGACAACUCAACCUAACUUGACCUCAAAUCAGGUAGGACUACCCGCUGAACUUAAGCAUAUCAAUAAGCGGAGGAAAAGAAACUAACAAGGAUUCCCCUAGUAACUGCGAGUGAAGCGGGAAAAGCUCAAAUUUAAAAUCUGGCAGAUGCUUGUCUGUCCGAGUUGUAACCC
RNAcentral lists this ribosomal RNA (786 nucleotides) under Amanita virosa (European destroying angel). Its description in RNAcentral is "eukaryotic LSU rRNA". The stretch from base 263 to 416 matches the Rfam family "5.8S ribosomal RNA". The record is from RNAcentral. Lineage: Eukaryota; Fungi; Basidiomycota; Agaricomycetes; Agaricales; Amanitaceae.